GCGAAAUGCGAUACUUGGUGUGAAUUGCAGAAUCCCGUGAACCAUCGAGUCUUUGAACGCAAGUUGCGCCCCAAGCCUUAGGGCUGAGGGCACGUCUGCCUGGGUGUCACG
This 111-nucleotide ribosomal RNA is filed under the name Pimelea micrantha. Its description in RNAcentral is "partial 5.8S ribosomal RNA". It matches the Rfam family "5.8S ribosomal RNA", at positions 48 to 154 of the family's 154-position model. Rfam says of the family: 5.8S ribosomal RNA (5.8S rRNA) is a component of the large subunit of the eukaryotic ribosome. Lineage: Eukaryota; Viridiplantae; Streptophyta; Magnoliopsida; Malvales; Thymelaeaceae. The record is from RNAcentral.